RNA transcript from Prionailurus viverrinus (fishing cat), 2661 nucleotides. It is a transcript of the gene named B9 domain containing 1, with no coding region annotated. The transcript is spliced from 10 exons. The record is from RefSeq and is a predicted model, not a curated record. NCBI's taxonomy places the organism in Eukaryota, Metazoa, Chordata, Mammalia, Carnivora, Felidae.
GAGGCCAGACCCGGUGGGGACGAGACCCGGGGCCUGCUAUGCAAAUGUUCCCGGUGCUGCUGCUCCUGUCUGGUGCGGGAAUCAGGCCGGCGGAGGCCAACAGCAGGAAGGGCCCGGCCGCGUGGCCUUGGCAGGCAAGCAUCUUCCUGGAUGCCCGCUACCGCUGCGAGGGGGCCCUCAUCUCCCAAGAGUGGGUGCUCGCAGGAGCCAGCUGCUUUGGCAGCGGGCCUCGGUCCCAGUUCAGAGUGACCCUGGGCCCAGACCGCCUGGUGCUGGACAGUUGCAAGAGCAUUUCCCGUGUGGAGGAGCUGCUCCUGUCCCCAGGAGGGAGUGAGGGCUCUGUGUCCGGUGGCCUGGCCCUGGCUCGACUGGCAAGGCCACCACCUCUCAGCAGCGCCGUGCAGCCGGUCCCUCUGGCCACCCGGCCCCAACCUUUCCUCCCGCGGCUGCUCUGCUGGGCCCAAGGGUUUGAGGCUGAUAUCGAUCCCUACAUCCCACCCCGAGAGCUGCACAGUGUCCCGCUGAGACCACUGCAUAUCCACACCUGCAAAGAUGCCUUUCGCCUCCACCCUGACUGUCCUGACCCGGAGGCCAGCCUGCCUGAGGGCUCCCAGUGCACCAAGCCCCCCACCGGCCCCUCUGAACUGGUGGUGUCUGAUGGGAGCCCCCUGGUCUGCUUCCAAGCUAACAGCUGGCUGCUACAGGGGGUGAUCACCUGGGGUCCCUGCUGGGGGCCUGGCCUCCCAGAAGUCUACAGGCCUGUGCAUCCCUUCAUUUCCUGGAUCAGAGAUAAGGUCUCUAAUGCCACUUUUCCCACCCUGGCCAAGAAGCGUCCUUGGGCCCGGCCUGGGACCAGACAGAGGAGGCAGUGAGGAUCUUUAGCCUGUGAAGUCCUGGGUUUGAACCCUGAUCCAGCUACUUACCUGCCGCUGUGACUGUUCCCAGCAAACUCCCCUCUCGGGAUCUGCUUCCUCUUGGAGUAAUUGAGAUGUAUUCACAAUUAUUCCUUCAUCCAACAAUGUUACCAGUGCUUCCUAUGUGCCAGGCAACCAGAACACAGGAUCAGUGGGGCCCCUGGUCUCAGGCAACAGGCGGGCUUGUCUAGAGGAGGGGAGGCAAGCAAUAGCCCGAGUCAUGGCAGUAAUAAAUGUGCAAAUACAAACCACAGUGGGUGCUAAGAAGGAUCGGAUUGCUGUGUUAACAGAAACCAUGACCUACGCAGGACGGCCAGGGAGUCACUGUUAUUUGAACAGUAACCAGGCAGAGCCAUGGGUUCUGGCUCACACUUCCCCCUACGGCCAGAUGACUGCGAUGCCAGGUGCUGCCCCUCCGUGGCCCUCAGUUUCCCCCCUUCACACUGAGGAGCCUUGGCUUGGACUAAAGUUUUAUGGAGGUCCCUCCCAAGUUUGUUUACACAACUUCUUGGGGGGGGCGAGGACCUCAAAAGCCCCAAAGGGGCAUUCCCUUGACCUGACGCUGGGCGCUGCUGGGCCCCAGCUGGAGACUCUCCAGAACCCGGGCGGCCCCGAGCCUCGUCUGACUCGCGGCCUUCGAGCGUUGCCUGCGACACGCGACACGCGGUGGUCGCGCAUCAGGAUCCCUCCUCCGCACGCCCUGGCCGCCAUCCUCCAGGUAGCGCCACAGCGACAUCUCGUGGCGGAGAGCAUCUGCACCACUUGGCUCCUGGCCCGCCUGAGUCAGGGCGGGCCUCUGCGCUUCGGGGCGGGCAGCGCCGAGGCCGAGUGGAUACACACUCCCUGCGGGUGUAACCGGAUCGGACGGCGGGGCUGGAUUCUACACAACGGGCCCACGCUCCCGCCCAGCCUGCGUGGACGGUCCCGGCUCCCCCGGAGAGGGGUGGGACUGCCGAGCCCCUCCCCCCAAAACCCCGCCCCUCGCACCAGCAGCCGCUGACUGCGCCUGCGUACUGUCUCACAUACGCUCGCCUCCGCGAAGGUGCCGCUCCCAAGAAACGUGUCCCACGCGCCACGCCGUCUGUUUCCAGGGCAACCCGGCGCCUCUUAGCAACCCCGAGCGCAGCCUGGGUCGUUUCCAGGCGCCCCCAGCCUGCCAUGGCGGCCGCGGGUCCCAGCGUCUUCCUACUCAUGGUCAACGGGCAGGUGGAGAGCGCCCAGCUCGCAGUCAGAUGGGGUUGGCAGAAAUAAACACGGGCAAUCAGAGCUUUGACGGAAGGAAGGACCAGGGGCUGGCAGCGCGAGGCGGUGGCCCUUGAAACAGCCUGGAGGUUAGGGCAGGCUCUCUGGAAGUUUCCUGAGUAUGAUGAUCUCUACUGCAAAUACUGCUUUGUGUAUGGCCAGGACUGGGCCCCCACGGCGGAAGCGUCGGGGUGAAAUCGGUGACAUCCGAGGGGCCGGCCGGCCAGAGCCGGUUCCUCGGGCUGGCGAGGGGAGAACUUGCGCCCAGUUGGCUCCAGGCCGUCAAGCUCGAACGAAAUAAAACCCGGAGAGACCUAGGAGCUGCUCCGUGACCUCGCAGACCCUGUUGUUGGGAAGUUAGCAUGGUCUGGAGGAGGGCAUCUCACAGAUCACAUCCAAGAGCCAAGACGUGCGGCAGGCGCUGGUGUGGAACUUCCCCAUCGACGUCACCUUUAAAAGCACCAACCCCUACGGCUGGCCACAGAUCGUGCUCAGUGUGUAUGGA